GGUGGGGUGGCUGAGCGGCCGAAAGCACCGGUCUUGAAAACCGGCGAGCCGACAAGGCUCCGUGGGUUCGAAUCCCACCCCCACCG
This 86-nucleotide transfer RNA is filed under the name Ectothiorhodospiraceae bacterium AqS1. It matches the Rfam family "tRNA". From Rfam's summary of the family: Transfer RNA (tRNA) molecules are approximately 80 nucleotides in length. Their secondary structure includes four short double-helical elements and three loops (D, anti-codon, and T loops). Lineage: Bacteria; Pseudomonadati; Pseudomonadota; Gammaproteobacteria; Chromatiales; Ectothiorhodospiraceae. The record is from Rfam by way of RNAcentral.